ACAAAAAUUAUCUUCCACUCUUCAGCUUCAGGGGAAGCGGAGGAGGCAGAGGGAGAGAGAGAGAGAGAAACGGAGAGAGGGAGUCAGCUACUCAGAGGAUCCUCAUCAUGUCAGACAGUAAAGAUCAGGAGAGCGUCCACGCAGCAGAGAAAGAUAAGGCCACAGCUGCACCAUCUGAGACACCCUGUGCGGAGCUGAAAACUGCCAUGGAGAAAUGCAUCGCAGAAAAAGGUGAAGAAAGCUGUAAAGAAGCAACUCAGGCCUACAAAAGCUGCAUGAAAACGUUAGGAUUUAAAGUUUAACAAAAGCUGAUUGGUACUGGCAUCUCUGAGCUGCCCAGUUCAUCAUUGGCCCUUCUUCCAGAGUUCCUCCAUUUUCCCAUUACUUCCUGCUCACUAACAAACCUUCUGCCCGGCAAAUAAUCCACAGCAGAAUAGUCGCAUCGAGCUGCAACGUUCUGACUUUAUUUGGUUGAAUAAAUGACCUUGAGGUACGCAACUUAUGAAGGAUUCACCCCAUCCCACACCUGUGACUUCCGGUAGCCUUUCAUUGGAGUGACGCUAAGUCAGGCACACAAUAUGAUGCACUUCUUAUUCAAGGACCACAAUCUUGACCCUUGACAUUAAGUGCAAGCAGAGGUCAAUCUUUUUUUUUUUAACUUUCAUGACUGUUAGUGAUGGAGAGCCAUGUUGCAACCCUUAAAUGUUCCAAAGCACUUCACAAUUAAAUUAGUUCUUUCCACAAACAAAUUGUACUAAAGAAGCUCUGAAACAAUUAACCAGUUAGUCCAGGUGGUGGGAUUUGCUGGAAAUAUCGAUCGAGUAACCUGCUCUGCUUCCGAAGUACCACAGGAUCUUCUUUAACGUUCAUUAUCAGCUUAGCCUCAGUGCCCCACUGGCCCCCCCAUUGACAUCGUCUUGCUACUUCUCUGGCUUCCUUCCAGCCUCACUCAGUCCAAGGCUCAAUGUUAUGCACCCCAGCUAAGUUUUCUUCUUUUUCUGUUUUUACCCUCAAUUUCUCCUUCAGUUGUUGCCAGAACAAGAUCUUUUACAUCCAGCUGAAACUCAAUUCUGCUCACUGAGUGUAAUGUUUGCCUCGUUUGUGUCCUCGAAUGCUUCUCAUUCGGUGCCAAGACUUGAGCCACAAGCACAGCCUAGGCAGCGAAAAUUAUCACCACUAUUUCAGCAUUGAUCUGAAAUUUCCCUGCACCAUCCUUUGCUGCGUGAGGUGAGGCCAAUUCCUGUUCAGCGAUGAGCCCAUGGUUGUUUUUUUUUGGCAAGUUCUAAAAUAUUAAGUGGGGGUGGGGGGUUGCAGGCAGAAUGAAUUAGGUUUAGGUACAAUGACUUUAUCAUCUGCAGCAAUGUCCUUUUAUCUCACAACCCAAUAGCUACUUCCCUCCCCUCCUUCCGAGCUCACCACCCUUCAUUUCCGACUUUUAGUGGCACAAGUGGCAAGACACUACAUCCUGGCACUUUCACCUUUCCUGUGAAGGCCUCUGUCCUCUUCAGCCACGUUUUCCCCAUCAACCCCAUCCCCUCUCCCUCAUCUGCCAUUCCGUGUCCGUUCUUUGCUCUGUGAAGAGGUUUGGGCAGUUUUACUACGUUAAAGACACUAGAUAAAUCCAAGUUCCCAAUCCAAGGUUUAUGUGCCGUGCUUUGAGAGGUGUAAUAAAAAUCUCCGUAAAAGCAAGAGCUUCUUAGCCCUAAUACCAAUGCAAAACUUCAGUCAGGGCCGCUGUUCAUUGACAUAGGAAAUAGGAGGAGUAGGCCAUUCAGUCCUUUGAGCCUGCUGUGCCAUUCAACUAGAUCAUGGCUGAUCUUCUACCUCAAUGCCAUUGACCCACACUAUCCCUAUAUUCCUUGAUGUCUUUAAUAUCCAUCAACCUCUGUCUUGAACGUACUCAAUGAUUGAGCCUCCACAGCCCUCUGAGGUAGAGAAUUCCAAAGAUUCACCACCCUCUGAGUGAAGAAAUUCUUCAUCGCAGUCCUAAAAUGACCUGCUCCUUAUUCUGAGACUGGCCCCACAACCAGGGGAAACAUCCUAUCUGAAUCCAUCCUGUCGCGACCUGUAAGAAUUAUGUACACUUCAAUGAGAUCACUUCUCAUUCUUCUAAAUUCUAGAGUCUCCUCAAUCUCUCCUCCUAUGACAAUCCCCCCCCCAUACCAGGAAUCAGUUCAGUGAACCUUCAUUGCACUUCUCUCUACGCAAAUAUAUUCUCCCUUAGGUAAGGAGACAAAAACUGUACACAAUACUUCAAGUGGAGUCCUGUGAUGAAUUUUUAUUCAUUCUUAAAGAAACAAAAUACUAGAAUAUUCACAUUUGAUCUGCGAUUUCCAUUCCUCAACAUGAGUUAAGAGCUACUAUGUAGUGCUUCAGAUAUGCGUGCACAUUAAUCUACAGUCCACGCAUAACAACCCCAACCAUCCCACACCCCACAACUCUGCCUUCCUCGUGAAAGACCCUGUAUUUGUGUCGACACUUAUGGUAUUUAGGUAUUUAAACCAUUCAAGGCAAAACGUUGCCAUGUAAUGCAACUGGCUCUUAAUGCAAGACCCACCAGGUGAUCAUGAGAGUCAGAUCACUGUUGAGAUUUCCGUGCCCCAACUCUCCAUCCCGGAAGGCAAAGCCGUGGAGAAUGUAGAAAAGGUGAAAAAGUUAAAAACAGAAAGUAAAAUCCGAAAUUGAAAAGGUUUCUCUGGCAAGUUCUCCCCACCCCCACCCAAUCCAACCCAAAACAAGACGACACAGAGAUUAGGAAGUGCCUGAAGCAGGAGAACCGUCAUCCACACCCACAAGCCCAGGUGACAGCCAUUCCACCCCACCCCCCUCUCCUGGGGCAUUUGCAGUACAUCAACCUAAUGGAUCUCCUCCUGUUCCUUGCCCUUCUCCCCCCUCCUCCCCCACACUUCACCAGCAUAGAACCGUCAACCAACCAUCAUCACUUGAAGAUUCAGCCAAUCUGCAACAUGGAGAUCUACUGAGGGCACUGACCAAUCGCCAGUCUUCAAUGAACCUCUUAUGAAGUCACAGCCAAUCGGUAUCAGCCCUGGCACAAGGUUUAACGACCUGGUGCCAAUCUAGUUUUGUUUUGAACCGACAUUGCUUGGAAAAAUAUUUUUUAAUAUAAUAAAAAUAUUAAAAUGCA
Molecule: long non-coding RNA, 3145 nt
Organism: Carcharodon carcharias (great white shark)
Lineage: Eukaryota; Metazoa; Chordata; Chondrichthyes; Lamniformes; Lamnidae
Exons: 3
Source: RefSeq, a predicted model, not a curated record